CUCUACUCAUUAUGGAUAGUCUUUCUUGUGCACUGUAGUUCUGGAAUAUAAAUCUGCCCUUCCCCAGGCAGGGGGGGAAACAAGGGACAGAAAUUCAGAUGAUGAAGCAAUAUUCUGUUUUCCUAACUCACUUUUUCUAAAGAGUACUUCCUGUUUCCCUGUGAUCAGAGGAAUGUCUUCAAUUGAAGUACUUCAUGACUCCAGCUUUGGAUUGCUGUGGGAAGAGAAAUAGAUUCAUGGAGUUGCUACCAAUAAAUUAAUUCAUUCA
Apus apus (common swift) is the source of this 268-nucleotide long non-coding RNA. RefSeq lists it as uncharacterized. NCBI's taxonomy places the organism in Eukaryota, Metazoa, Chordata, Aves, Apodiformes, Apodidae. The transcript has 2 exons. The record is from RefSeq and is a predicted model, not a curated record.